UACGUAGGGUGCAAGCGUUGUCCGGAAUUAUUGGGCGUAAAGCGCUCGUAGGCGGUUUGUUAAGUCGGCUGUGAAAUCCCGGGGCUCAACCUCGGGUCUGCAGUCGAUACGAGCAAACUAGAGUGUUGCAGGGGAGACUGGAAUUCCUGGUGUAGCGGUGAAAUGCGCAGAUAUCAGGAGGAACACCAAUGGCGAAGGCAGCACUCUGGGACGUGACUGACGCUGAUACGCGAAAGCGUGGGGAGCAAACAGG
This 253-nucleotide ribosomal RNA is filed under the name uncultured bacterium. RNAcentral's name for it is "partial 16S ribosomal RNA". It matches the Rfam family "Bacterial small subunit ribosomal RNA", at positions 524 to 776 of the family's 1533-position model. The record is from RNAcentral.